RNAcentral lists this ribosomal RNA (253 nucleotides) under uncultured bacterium. RNAcentral's name for it is "partial 16S ribosomal RNA". It matches the Rfam family "Bacterial small subunit ribosomal RNA", at positions 524 to 776 of the family's 1533-position model. The record is from RNAcentral.
UACAGAGGGGGCAAGCGUUAUUCGGAAUUAUUGGGCGUAAAGGGCGCGUAGGCGGUUGGAUAAGUCAGCUGUGAAAACCACGGGCUUAACUCGUGGCCUGCAGUUGAGACUGUCUGGCUUGAGUGUGGGAGAGGAGAGUGGAAUUCCUGGUGUAGCGGUGAAAUGCGUAGAUAUCAGGAGGAACACCGGUGGCGAAGGCGGCUCUCUGGACCACAACUGACGCUGAGGCGCGAAAGCUAGGGGAGCAAACAGG